GACGAACGCUGGCGGCGUGCCUAAUACAUGCAAGUCGAGCGGAAUGAUGAAGAAGCUUGCUUCUUCUGAUUUUAGCGGCGGACGGGUGAGUAACACGUGGGCAACCUACCUUGUAGAUUGGGACAACUCCGGGAAACCGGGGCUAAUACCGAAUAAUCCAUUUUGCUUCAUGGCGAGAUGUUGAAAGACGGUUUCGGCUGUCACUACAAGAUGGGCCCGCGGCGCAUUAGCUAGUUGGUAGGGUAAUGGCCUACCAAGGCGACGAUGCGUAGCCGACCUGAGAGGGUGAUCGGCCACACUGGGACUGAGACACGGCCCAGACUCCUACGGGAGGCAGCAGUAGGGAAUCUUCCACAAUGGACGAAAGUCUGAUGGAGCAACGCCGCGUGAGUGAAGAAGGUUUUCGGAUCGUAAAACUCUGUUGUAAGGGAAGAACACGUACGAGAGUAACUGCUCGUACCUUGACGGUACCUUAUUAGAAAGCCACGGCUAACUACGUG
This 500-nucleotide ribosomal RNA is filed under the name uncultured bacterium. RNAcentral describes it as "bacterial SSU rRNA". It matches the Rfam family "Bacterial small subunit ribosomal RNA", at positions 28 to 507 of the family's 1533-position model. The record is from RNAcentral.